UGCAGUCGACGGGGUCCAUGGAGCUUGCUCCGGAAGACCUAGUGGCGAACGGGUGCGUAACACGUGAGAAACCUGCCCUGGACUUGGGAAUAACAGUCGGAAACGACUGCUAAUACCGAAUACCUUCACACCGUCGCAUGGCGGAGUGAAGAAAGCUUUUGCGGUCUGGGAGGGUCUCGCGGCCUAUCAGCUAGUUGGUGAGGUAACGGCUCACCAAGGCAUCGACGGGUAGCUGGUCUGAGAGGAUGAUCAGCCACACUGGGACUGAGACACGGCCCAGACUCCUACGGGAGGCAGCAGUGGGGAAUAUUGCACAAUGGGCGCAAGCCUGAUGCAGCAACGCCGCGUGCGGGAUGAAGGCCCUAGGGUUGUAAACCGCUUUCAGCAGGGAAGAAAAUGACGGUACCUGCAGAAAGAAAGGUGCGGCCAACUACGUGCCAGCAGCCCGCGGUGACACGUAGGCACCAAGCGUUGUCCGGAUUUUAUUGGGCGUAAAGAGCUCGUAGGCGGUUCAGUUAGUCGGGGGUGAAACUUCUGGGCUCAACCCAAACCCCCCCCAUUCUGGCUGGACUAGAGUACGGAGGGAAUGGGGGAAUUCUGGGGGUAGCGUGAAUGGGAAAAUUCAGAAGGAACCCAGGGGGAAAGGCCCCUUUGGCCGUAUUAACUGAGGACGAAAGCUUGGGAGAAAC
This 689-nucleotide ribosomal RNA is filed under the name uncultured bacterium. RNAcentral's name for it is "bacterial SSU rRNA". It matches the Rfam family "Bacterial small subunit ribosomal RNA", at positions 56 to 773 of the family's 1533-position model. The record is from RNAcentral.